UACGUAGGGAGCAAGCGUUGUCCGGAAUCAUUGGGCGUAAAGCGCGCGUAGGCGACCUCGUAAGUCCGUUGUGAAAGUCAAAGGCUCAACCUUUGAAAGCCGAUGGAUACUGUGAGGCUAGAGUCCGGAAGAGGCGAGUGGAAUUCCUGGUGUAGCGGUGGAAUGCGCAGAUAUCAGGAGGAACACCAAUAGCGAAGGCAGCUCGCUGGGACGGUACUGACGCUAAGGCGCGAAAGCGUGGGGAGCGAACAGG
Molecule: ribosomal RNA, 253 nt
Filed under: uncultured bacterium
Lineage: Bacteria
Description: partial 16S ribosomal RNA
Rfam family: Bacterial small subunit ribosomal RNA
Source: RNAcentral